Molecule: long non-coding RNA, 2977 nt
Organism: Cottoperca gobio
Lineage: Eukaryota; Metazoa; Chordata; Actinopteri; Perciformes; Bovichtidae
Source: Ensembl
GUUUCAAAGUAAACGAUAACUGUAUAGAGUUAACUCCUCAACUUUCUAUGGGAGCAAGUCAACACUAAACCCACAUGGGUACAGUACACUGCAACCAAACCAGGAAGCUGAAGUCACGUUAGAAGACCGACGCUGAUUGGCUGAUCUUCGCACUUCCUCCUUAAGGUCCCGCCUUUUGUUACAACGCCAUUGGUUGAAUCAAGAAUUUAGAUGAGCAGGAAACUGUACUGGGGUAAAAUACUUCCCUCGGGGAAUAAGUUUUCGCAGCUUUGUUCCGCUCUUAAUUGUAAAAAUAUAAAUAUCACAACACAAUAAUCGUAAACACACGUGUACCAUACACAGUAAACGAUAAAUACAGGAGCAGUAUUUCGCAUAUAUUCAACCGGAAACGUUUUGCACGGCUGUCAAAAAAAUAGCCGUAAUUGUAUCAGGAUCUAUGUACUGUACUACUGCAGUAGUACUACUACUUCCUCUACUACGCAGUAUUUGCAUUUACUGCGCUGCUAUCUGUCCUCAGUGAGUGUGGUUACUGUGUAUCCGUGAAAUAUAGCUGAACGGCCAGAUUAUCUCUUUCUUUCUUUUAUAACCCCCAUGCCACCCAAGAGAGACGCAGGAGCGACUCCAACACAACCACCAAUCAAGAUGAUAAAAAUCAACACUGAUUCACAGGAGUUUGGCUGUGAUACAGUGGAGGAUAAGUACAGGAUGGCUGAGGAGUCCAGCUAUUCCCCUUUUCCCAACAAUGAGCAUGAAACCAUUGAAUUUGAUGAAGAAAAUAUUGCAAGCCCAGGCAUCAGAACAGACACCAUCAGUCUGCUCAUGAAAAUAGAGCAACUGCAGGCACAACUCAAGUAUGAACGCAGAUGUAGAAUUUUGGCUGAGAGAGAGCUCAGGGAGCUGAAAGAGAUGAACACACUCAUGAUGCAGAUGAGGCACACAGCUCAUGAACUGCGAGUCACUCUGGAUCACGUUCUCCAAGGAGGCGAGGUAGCAGCAGCACCGCAGACCCCUCAAGAUGAAACUAUCUCUUACCUGGCUGAUACCGAGGCAGAUAUGAGGGAGGAUCAAGAUCUCCUCCCAGACGACGAUCAAAACUUCUUGUUUCUCUCUGAGACUCUUCGAGUACCAAAAAACCUUUAUGAGCGCAUCGCAGAAAUUGGAGACUACAAAAAGUACACGUCAGCUCUGCUGAUGAUACUUUUUGACCGAGAAACGUUGGGCACACACUCUCUGCAGGGCCGGAGGAACACCUUUUCACCAGAUGAUUGCCACAAGCCGCAACUCCCACCUGAGAUCUUGAGAGGUAUUAUAGAACAUGUGGCACUCAAGUUCGGUGUUGAUAGCGGCCAAAUAAAAACUGCAAUCCGCACAAAGUUGAAUAAUGAGGACAAACUAUUAAAAAAGAGAAUGGGUAUAGGUAGAGCUGAAAGCAAAGCUAUUAUCGAUCAAAGCUUUUGCCAAGAUACUUUACUCCUGUCUGAAAACGGAACAAUGACGAACGAUUCUCAGUUAUAACCUCUUGAGUCUGGCUUCAUGUGUUGGUCACCAGGUUUUCAUGUCUGAUAGAAAUGUGUGACAGCCUUUUUAAUCCACCUGUAGUUUAUUCUGUAUUGAACUCUAGUGUUUGGAGUUAGUUAGUUUUUUCUUUUAACACUUUUUAGAAUUCUUCCAUUUUUAAAGCUAAUGUUGUCUGUCGUGUGUUCGAAAGUGAAAAGUUUAAUCUGGUGACCCAACCAAGUUUAACAGCACUAUAAAAUGUCACAUGUGUAAUCGUCAGUGGUAAAAACAACCAAGUGUUCUUAAUUAAUUUGAGGUAGUAAGUGGCUUUGUCUAAAUUACGUGAAGUCGAUCUUUGUCAAACAUUUAUACUGGUUUAACUUUUCAAUCAGCUGGCCUCUGUUUGUUUUGAAAGUAGGACUUUUGAAAAUGUUUCAAAUAAUAGGGGUGCUAUUUUUUACCCUGUAGUUCAUGACAAACUGCAUUACACCAAGUGAUACUGUGUUUCUAGAAUAGUUUUUUUGCAGUUGCAAAAUAUGCUGUAAGUGAUACUUAAUCUUCCUGCUUCCACCACAUCUCUUACAUCACUUCUCUGUCUGUUGUGCUUACCUACAUAAGGGCCAAUAAACUUUCGGAGCUGAUAUCCUUCUGUUAUCUUAACUUGGACCCUUUCUUACGUCAGCACAGUAAAGUACAGCAUGCUCUCUUGGAAAUGUUGUUUUCUCGCCGGCAACCAACAGAUGUCAGCGCCGAGCCCUUAUUCAGGCUCUUCUGCAAGCAAUGAUUAACUCUCAAAAGAGUACAACUGUGAAUUUAAGGUUACUAUUACUUAAAAAAUGUCAAGAAAUAAGAUUACCUUCAUUUAAAGAAGACUGUGCAAAUUGGUGAAUGGACUGAACAAAUCUAACCAAUACUGUGUGUGUGUGUGUGUGUGUGUGUGUGUGUGUGUGUGUCUGAGAGUGUGCAUUCUCUCAGAAGCUCUGGAGAUAAUAGGGGAGUGUGUGUAAAGACAGAGGCAUAGUGGACAGUGUGUGACAGUCACUGCCACAUCCCGACUGAUGAAAGAGUGUGUGUGUGUGUGUGGGACAUGGUUAAUGUUAGCGGGUGGGGGUUUGAUAGAGUCAUCUUGUCAUGAAAGAUGUGAUUUGAACAAUCACUAACUGUUAGCUCCUCCCCCUCCUCCUUUCGCUCCGCCAGCUGUGCUGUCUCAGCGGACGCACUGCACAUCACCUCUCUGUCAGAGCCGCUCUCCCUGGGGUCCUUUACUAAGGCUUGUAUGUCUGUUUCUUUCAGAAAUGUUCCCUUUUUACUGUUUUUGCAUAGCUCUCGGUUGAUCUCUGUAAGGUGGACCACAACUAUUAUACACCUGAAAGAAUUCAGAGGACAAUCUUCACCAUGAUUUGGAAGUAUUUCACUUUUUCAACUUUACAAAACUUUUUGGAGGAGCUACAGCUGAUUUUCAAAAUGUAAGAGUUGAUUG